Long non-coding RNA from Rosa rugosa (rugosa rose), 2063 nucleotides. RefSeq lists it as uncharacterized. The transcript is spliced from 2 exons. Lineage: Eukaryota; Viridiplantae; Streptophyta; Magnoliopsida; Rosales; Rosaceae. The record is from RefSeq and is a predicted model, not a curated record.
UUUUCUGCUUGUUGGAGUUUUAGAUUUGGGGUUUGGUUGGAAAUGGUGGAGCCAAAAGUUGUAGAUCUCUUGAGCUUUGAAUGAUUGAUUUUGUUCUAUGAAUGUGAAAUUGAAAUUGCUUAUUCUGCAUUUUAACUUGGUUUUAAUAAUUCACACCGGAAAUUAGAUAGGUAUGGAUUGAAUUCUUUAGCUCCUUUAGUCAGUAAACCCUGACUGGAUUUAAUAGUUAGAGCAAACUGGUUGUAUUCUUUGAUUUUGGUUGAUUAAAGUUUUCUCUUGAAUGCAGAAUCAUGAUUGCUUACAGUUGUGGUACAAUAAUGAAACUUAAUUCUAUGCAUUUAACUGCGGCUAAUAGAUUGAGUCUUAUUCAGCUAUAGUGUAUUUGUAUUAAAGCUACAAUAUUUAGGCUCAAACUCACUGCAAUGGGGAGCUGUAGUUUGGAACUGCUUCUUUUCCUAGUUCUUGUUUGAUCUUGUGUUAGGAUUUCAUGUCCAACAUGAAUAUUCCCGUCAUAAAGGUUGGCCUAGACAUAAGUGGUUGUGAAUCACUGAUAGAGGUAGCGUCACCGUCAGUUGAAAUCCCACCUGCUAUUUGUUAUACUUGAAGCUCCAUAGUGUGCCAGAACUAAUAACAUUUCAACAUUUUUCAGGUUCGGGUAUGAGCCUAUUUUGAGGCUGCUGCAGGCUAUCUUCAUCUGCUAUUUACUCAUCAAUCUGUACGUCUUCUAGGCAUUUUCGAUAUACUUGGAGACAGUUGCAAUUAUUCCACAAUUAGUUUUGCUCCAACGAAGUGGACAUGUGGACAAUUUGACAUAGUAGUAUGUUUUCUUUCCUCAUUGUCAUGUGCUAUAAAAUUGAAUAACUCAUUGCUGUCUAUUCUUUGAAGUUCAAGUGAAAUAUAGUUUUCUCUUAAAAUUUUUCUUUCUUUACCAUCAUUAUUCACUGUCCAAUUUACCAGAUAUGUCCCAUGUUUCACUUGUCACAUGUUAUGGAAUUACAAUAUAUUGGGCCAAUUUCUGAUCUCAUUUUGUUUUGCAAUCAUAAUUCAGAAGUCAUUAUUUGAAAUACUGAGUUGUAAGUUGUAACAGCCAACUUCAUUGUAUCUCAACAUCUUCAGUAGGUUUUCAUCCAAUGAACAACUGCCUAGUGCCUUAAGGAACCUUGCCCCACCAUAUAGCUUGGUAAUAUUUAGUCUUAAACCAAGAUGGACAGCUUAGAAAUGUCGAUCUGCAUUGGAUGUAUGCCUAGUUUUUGAUGGAGUCUGAGAAAUAUGCUCAAACAAGGUAAGAUCAGUUUUCAUUCCUCGAGUUGUUUAGUCUUUGGUUCUUGUUAGCUAUGAAAGCUUUACCACUGAUGGGCCUCGCUGCUAUUGCUGGAAAUUGUAGGUUAGAUCAGUUUCCAUUCCUUGUUUGUUGCUAUUUCGAUAGUUUGUGGAAUGUGAUUUGCACUUGUUAUGCUUUUCUUAAUCUAAAUUCAUGCCGAAUAGUUUGAAAGACCAUUGUUCCUUCAAAAAGAUGAACGGUAGGUACUCGUGCCAGCAAAGGUUAAUUGUGUAUGUUGAUAUGUAUAGCUUGUAUGUGUCUGAUGUUGUCCGAUGUUGUGAUUGAAAAUAAGUUAUUUUGCAGUUACGCUGUUCACAAUCAUGAUGCUAGUAAUUUUUGGACUAACAAGCGUUUACUAUAGAAUCAUGAUUUUGGCAUAACAUGCCUGGGAAAGGUGAAUAUAAACUAUGAGAAUGAUCUGGAUACGAUGAGCAACAUGCAAGCACCAGGUCUGGCAUGUGUGCCCCGCGCUGAACUAUUGACCUAUAUGCAGCUGGAACUACAGAAAGAGAGCCAAAAGCUCCUACACAAUCUUCCAAAGCUAGACUCCAAUGAGGCCAUGAGAGCAGCAAAGCUUGCAAAGCUAGACUCCUUAAGUAAAUUUGUGGAUGUAUAUUGCUAGGAAAGUAGUAUUAGAUGUACUCCUUUUGUGGAUGAAAGGUUGCCUUUGCACAAUCUAUUUUGGUGCAUGUGGAUUAUAUAUAACAAUUUCUUCUAUAUAUUGAUCAGUUACUGUUAAUUU